GCUGCUGGGCCCUCCCGGCCUUCAGAGCCCCAGCCUCACAGGUCUCUUGCCCUKCUCUGGUGGCCGCCCACAAGCAGACCAUGCAGUCCGAGAAGUUCCACUUAGCUAUGCUGCCACGUGACCAAAUGCCGGUAGGACAGAGGUGCCUGAGGUGGGAGCUCUGCAGCCUGGGUGGUUUACACUGAUAGAUUUUUGAAUAUUGAAUGAGACCUGCAUCCCCAUUGGUCAGAUUUCUACAAGAGUAGUCCUGUCUGCAGAAUGCCAGACCUCUCCCUGCAACAUUAAGAAGUGCACUGGCUGGGCGAGAGGUCGGAGUCGGUGGGCAGACAGCUGCCCUCAGGACACAGACUUUCAAGCCGGGACUCUAUCAGAGGAGCCUCUCACAUUGGUGGUUGAGAAAGAGCUGGAAUGAAGUCAUCCCUCUUCUGGUUUUGUCUUCAUCCCACAGUUUGCAAAGCUGCAGAGAGCAUCGUUGACAAUGCCUUGUGUUCUACAGCAUGCAUGCUCAGGAAGGAGCACCUGGCUGCAGAGAUUACUCAACGCGCCCGCAGAGCCCCUCAAUGCAGUGGACUGGAGGACACGGACAGGGACCUGGGCUGCUAUGUCCGGGCCGUGGGAGCCUUGCUGCCUGGACAGUGUGCCCUGAGGGGACCCCGGAUGGCAGUCAGGCACUGGCCUGGCUCAGGCCUGGCUCCGCUCUUCAGUGGUCAGCGUGAGCCCUGCCAUCCUCCUUUCUUUGUCUGUGGAUGCGGGGUCAUUGCAGUCGGCCUCAACGCCCCCUUAGCUCUUCCAUUCUCAAAUUCCAUUUACCUUUUGAUCCGGUUCCAUCCUUUUAAGUGCUGUCACCUUUGCUUACUUGUAUAAACACGAGAGAAAAUCAUACUUGUUUACUAACUUAAAUUUAAACAAUGAAUAACAAGAAAAACGUGAAAGAGAACCCAUCACCUCUGAGCCUACAGGUUGCGAGAAMCCCCCUGGCUCCCCCUGAGCGCCCCAGGCCCGGCCAGCAGCCUGGGCUCCCGGAGUCUCCGGCCCUGGAGGGGGCGGGCAAUGCUGCUCUGCCGCGCCCUCUGGUGGCCGCUCUCCGUCAUGGUCACCAGCCGCAGGGUUGUGCCUUGGGCUGCCCAGGCGAAAGAUUUAAUUUACUCCGACAAAUAUUCCAUCUGGUGYUUCGGGUAGAGUCCCGGAAAAUGCCAUCUCUCUUUUCUGGAAGUCUCUCUCUUAGUGGCCAGUGAUGAAGAUGCCAGAAAAAAGUAGCCCAUUCAUCAUAUUUAUGUUGUGUGAGAUGGUACCUCAGAGGGUGAAGUCAAUGAGAAGAAUGAGUAAUUGAAACAAGCAUUUUUGUUCCCUUGGCAGAAAGUCAGUCAUUAGCCAUAUACCUAUUUUACAAAGGGAGAUUAGAUAAAUUAGAGAUUAAAGAAAGUGGAACAGAUGUUUUUCCUCUGAUAAGCAUCAUUCUAUCAAAAAAGCAAAGAAACAACAACAAAAAAGCAAACCUCGGGAGACUUGGACUUGGUGCAGAAAACGUGGAGGCAGAAAUCCCAGGUUGGGGGAGACGUGGCCUGCACAGGGCCACACCUGGACCGUGUGGACGCUCUCAUCGUGCCAUGACUCAUCGCAGCGCAUCCUUCCAUGUCGUGAGGGUGCCAGGCGCCCAUGAGUUGUGUGGCGCCAGGCGCCUCGUGGACCUUGUCUUUACCCUCGCAGUAGCAGCCAUUGAAGGGCGGCCAUGUUGUC
Long non-coding RNA from Urocitellus parryii (Arctic ground squirrel), 1737 nucleotides. RefSeq lists it as uncharacterized. Lineage: Eukaryota; Metazoa; Chordata; Mammalia; Rodentia; Sciuridae. The record is from RefSeq and is a predicted model, not a curated record.